CCUGGCUCAGGAUGAACGCUAGCUACAGGCUUAACACAUGCAAGUCGAGGGGCAGCAUGAAUCAAGCUUGCUGAUUGAUGGCGACCGGCGCACGGGUGCGUAACACGUAUCCAAUCUACCCAUGGCUCAGGGAUAGCCUUUCGAAAGAAAGAUUAAUACCUGAUGGUUUCAUGAGCCCGCAUGGACUUAUGAAUAAAGAUUUAUCGGCGAUGGAUGAGGAUGCGUCCGAUUAGAUAGUAGGCGGGGUAACGGCCCACCUAGUCGACGAUCGGUAGGGGCUCUGAGAGGAGGAUCCCCCACAUUGGAACUGAGACACGGCCCAAACUCCUACGGGAGGCAGCAGUGAGGAAUAUUGGUCAAUGGGCGAGAGCCUGAACCAGCCAAGUAGCGUGAGGGAUGACUGCCCUAUGGGUUGUAAACCUCCUUUGUUUGGGAAUAAAGUGAGCCACGUGUGGCUUUUGUAUGUACCUUACGAAUAAGCAUCGGCUAAUUCCGUGCCAGCCGCGGC
RNAcentral lists this ribosomal RNA (508 nucleotides) under uncultured bacterium. Its description in RNAcentral is "bacterial SSU rRNA". It matches the Rfam family "Bacterial small subunit ribosomal RNA", at positions 18 to 518 of the family's 1533-position model. The record is from RNAcentral.